RNAcentral lists this ribosomal RNA (403 nucleotides) under uncultured bacterium. RNAcentral's name for it is "partial 16S ribosomal RNA". It matches the Rfam family "Bacterial small subunit ribosomal RNA", at positions 30 to 526 of the family's 1533-position model. The record is from RNAcentral.
AUUGAACGCUGGCGGCAGGCCUAACACAUGCAAGUCGAGCGAGCGGCGGACGGGUGAGUAAUGUAUGGGGACUGCCCGAUAGAGGGGGAUAACUACUGGAAACGGUAGAUAAUACCGCAUACUAUCGGAUAACCCAUAUGGGAUUAGCUAGUCGGUGGGGUAAUGGCUCACCUAGGCGACGAUACCUAGCUGGUCUGAGAGGAUGCCCAGCCAAACUGGAACUGAGACACGGCCCAGACUCCUACGGAGGCAGCAGUGGGGAAUAUUGCACAAUGGGCGUAAGCCUGAUGCAGCCAUGCCGCGUGUAUGAAGAAGGCCCUAGGGUUGUAAAGUACUUUCAGUCGGGAGGCGUUACCGGCAGAAGAAGCACCGGCUAACUCCGUGCCAGCCGCCGCGGUAAUAC